CAAAAUAUAGCUUAAGAGAAGUAUUUCAGUUACAAUGAAAGGGAGUCUUGUGUAAUUCAGGAUGUUUUGA
This 70-nucleotide transfer RNA is filed under the name Hemigyrus spinosus spinosus. RNAcentral describes it as "tRNA-Val". Lineage: Eukaryota; Metazoa; Arthropoda; Insecta; Orthoptera; Tettigoniidae. The record is from RNAcentral.